This 110-nucleotide ribosomal RNA is filed under the name Sphingobacterium multivorum. Lineage: Bacteria; Pseudomonadati; Bacteroidota; Sphingobacteriia; Sphingobacteriales; Sphingobacteriaceae. The record is from RNAcentral. RNAcentral also lists the same sequence under 1 other name.
AGUAGACAGACGAAAGUCGAAAGUCUCUUCCCAUUCCGAACAGAGCAGUCAAGCCCGCCAGAGCCGAUGGUAUUGCCGUAACAGGUGGGAGAGUAGGUCGGUGCCUUUUU